UCCCCGGUGGUCCAGUGGUUUGGACUCAGCCCUUUCACUGCUGUGGCCUGGGGUUCAAUUCCUGGUCAGGGAA
This is a non-coding RNA of Bos taurus (domestic cattle), 73 nucleotides long. Lineage: Eukaryota; Metazoa; Chordata; Mammalia; Artiodactyla; Bovidae. The record is from Rfam.